UAGAGUUUGAUCCUGGCUCAGGACGAACGCUGGCGACGUGCUUAACACAUGCAAGUCGAACGGAAAGGCCCCUUCGGGGGUGCUCGAGUGGCGAACGGGUGAGUAACACGUGGGUGAUCUGCCCUGCACUUCGGGAUAAGCUUGGGAAACUGGGUCUAAUACCGGAUAGGACCAUGGCCUGCAUGGGUUGUGGUGGAAAGCUUUUGCGGUGUGGGAUGGGCCCGCGGCCUAUCAGCUUGUUGGUGGGGUGAUGGCCUACCAAGGCGACGACGGGUAGCCGGCCUGAGAGGGUGUCCGGCCACACUGGGACUGAGAUACGGCCCAGACUCCUACGGGAGGCAGCAGUGGGGAAUAUUGCACAAUGGGUGCAAGCCUGAUGCAGCGACGCCGCGUGGGGGAUGACGGCCUUCGGGUUGUAAACCUCUUUCACCAUCGACGAAGGCCUGCCUUUUGGGUGGGUUGACGGUAGGUGGAGAAGAAGCACCGGCCAACUACGUGCCAGCAGCCGCGGUAAUAC
Molecule: ribosomal RNA, 517 nt
Filed under: uncultured Mycobacterium sp.
Lineage: Bacteria; Bacillati; Actinomycetota; Actinomycetes; Mycobacteriales; Mycobacteriaceae
Description: bacterial SSU rRNA
Rfam family: Bacterial small subunit ribosomal RNA
Source: RNAcentral